Molecule: long non-coding RNA, 1014 nt
Filed under: Vigna radiata
Lineage: Eukaryota; Viridiplantae; Streptophyta; Magnoliopsida; Fabales; Fabaceae
Description: long non-coding RNA (VRAD_LNC003558)
Source: RNAcentral
AAAACGAUAUCCGGUCUUACCGGUUUUACUACUUGAGCGAUUUGGUGCACUUGCCACAGUCUCAAUAACUGCCAAGCGCACAAUGCAUGGAAUCACCACGUGUUUUCCACUUACUGUCCUGUCUUUUAUCCACAACAAUAUUCAUCAAUGCUACAUGGUCUGAAUCUGAAGUAAGCUCUUCCUUUGGAAGAUUCACCUCACCACCUUUUUCUUUCUUAUUAUCUUCAUUGUGCCAGCACUAACUUGAAUAAUGACCAACCUUGUUACAUGUGUAACAUUGUAUACCUCUCUUGUCAAUGUUCCUUUUACCGCCUCUACCUCUUGUUUUUCCUCUGCCUCUGCAACUGCCAUGUUCAUUGUUUUCAAGAUCUUUGUUCCGUUCUGAAUUAUUAGCGGACCUUCCUCCGUUUCUGCCUCCACGACCACCUCGUGUUCUGCCUCUACCUCUGCCGAAUCCAUGCUACUUUUGCAUCUUGGCUUGUAAUGCUUGGCUGAUCUAGAUCGCAACUUGUUCUGCAGCUUUCCUUUCUAACAGUCUCUGUUCGUGAGCCUCAAGUGAGUUUUGUAAUUCCUCCACUUUCAUCUUCUCCAAAUCUCGACUUUCUACAAUCGCCACGACAAUGUGGUCAUCAUGGGGUGUUAACGUACGCAAGAUCUUAUGAACUAUCUUUUUGUCCUUGACGGUUUUGUUGCAUGCCCGCAUUGUGUUGACAAUCACCUGAAUUCUGCUAAUGUAACCUUGAAUCAUUUCUUGUUCCCCAUGUUCAGAAGCUCAUAUUGUUGUCUCAGUGACUGUAGUUUAAUCACCUUUAUAUUCCCCGUAGUUCCAUACCCAUCUUGUAGAAUUUCCCAAGUUUCCUUUGUUGUCGUAGCCUUGGAUACCUUUUGGAAAAUCAUUGCUGAAAUGCAUUGAUGCAAGAUCAUGCGCCCCUUGCAAUUCAAUUUUCUGUUCUCUUUAUAUGCUUUCUUUUCUUCAUCUGUAGCAGUCUUUGCAAGAUCUUUAAACCCUUCUUU